GGCUUCCUACGGGAGGCAGCAGUGGGGAAUAUUGCACAAUGGGGGGAACCCUGAUGCAGCGACGCCGCGUGGGUGAAGGAGUACUUCGGUACGUAAAGCCCUAUCAGCAGGAAAGAAAAUGACGGUACCUGACUAAGAAGCCCCGGCUAACUACGUGCCAGCAGCCGCGGUAAUACGGAGGAUGCGAGCGUUAUCCGGAUUUAUUGGGUUUAAAGGGUGCGUAGGCGGUCCGGAAAGUCAGCGGUAAAAGUCCGGGGCUCAACCCCGGCGAGCCGUUGAAACUGUCGGACUAGAGACGGCGAGAA
This 305-nucleotide ribosomal RNA is filed under the name uncultured bacterium. RNAcentral's name for it is "bacterial SSU rRNA". It matches the Rfam family "Bacterial small subunit ribosomal RNA", at positions 333 to 656 of the family's 1533-position model. The record is from RNAcentral.